AUUGCCUUUGUCCCCCUGGAUGGAGCGGACGCCUCUGUGACAUCCGAAGCUUGCCCUGCAGGGAGGCCGCAGCCCAGAUCGGGGUGCGGCUGGAGCAGCUGUGUCAGGUGGGUGGGCAGUGUGUGGAUGAAGACAGCUCCCACUACUGCGUGUGCCCAGAGGGCCGUACUGGUAGCCACUGUGAGCAGGAGGUGGACCCCUGCUUGGCCCAGCCCUGCCAGCAUGGGGGGACCUGCCGUGGCUAUAUGGGGGGCUACAUGUGUGAGGUAAGGGGGCGCUCCCCAGGAGAGGGAAGAGGAGGUGGGCAUGCUUGGG
Molecule: long non-coding RNA, 315 nt
Filed under: Pan troglodytes (chimpanzee)
Lineage: Eukaryota; Metazoa; Chordata; Mammalia; Primates; Hominidae
Description: long non-coding RNA NONPTRT008396
Source: RNAcentral